Molecule: regulatory RNA element, 77 nt
Rfam family: c-di-GMP-I riboswitch aptamer
About the family: GEMM was predicted in a large-scale screen for bacterial structured RNA regulatory elements. Genes associated with GEMM are involved in a diverse array of functions, including chemotaxis regulation, signal transduction, secretion and chitin.
Source: Rfam
AGACGAUAAUACUAAACCACCUGUGAAGGUGGGGCGGAAAGCCUAUUGGGUCUCCAGGAGACAGCCGGGUUGCCGAA